Molecule: non-coding RNA, 239 nt
Filed under: Bacillus sp. (in: firmicutes)
Lineage: Bacteria; Bacillati; Bacillota; Bacilli; Caryophanales; Bacillaceae
Description: Bacillus sp. T-box sequence
Rfam family: T-box leader
About the family: Uncharged tRNA acts as the effector for transcription antitermination of genes in the T-box leader family. T-boxes are found upstream of many aminoacyl-tRNA synthetase genes and some amino acid biosynthetic genes usually in Gram-positive bacteria. The anticodon of a specific tRNA base pairs to a specifier sequence within the T-box motif, and the NCCA acceptor tail of the tRNA base pairs to a conserved bulge in the T-box antiterminator hairpin.
Source: RNAcentral
GAAAAAGCGUUGAAAAGGAAAAGUAGUUUAAUACUUAUUUUCAGAGAGCCGUUGUUCGCUGCAAAACGGUAAUAAGUAUUCAACGAAACUCACCUUGGAGUGUGGCUCUGAAAAAUAGUAGGAGCACCGGAUGUUAACCGCAUCCGUUAUCAAAACUAGCGAGCAAUAGUUCGCUUAGAGGCUAACGUGUUUUGUUAGUGAAAAGGGUGGUACCGCGUGAAGACUUUCUCGCCCCUUGC